CUGAAUGCAGCUCCCAGGAAAUCUUGGACAAUUCAGCUGACCUGCCCAAGAGAGCAAAAUUCAUCUGUUUCUAUCUGUGGUGUGAUGAUCUGGAGUCCCCCAGAUGGAAGGUGCUAUGGAGGAGCUCCACACCAGAGCCAUCCUUUCUGUCUUUCUUGUCCCAGAGGUGCUGCAGAGCAGAUCCAGAGGCAGAAGGAGCAUUGCUGUGGAACAGCCUUGGCACCCAGCUCACAGCCCCGUGCAGAUGGAGAUGUGGGGUUACCCCUCUGCAGUCCCUGCUGCAGACAAAUCCAGGUCAUGGUCCUCCUAGAAACCCCAUUGGACCUCCAGAAACUCUUGUAGGCCCCAGAAUGCCCAGCUGGCCCAGCCCCAAGGGCCACGGCGGCGUGGGCUGUGCCAGGGUUUCCCGAUGUUCCUGCUCUGUUCCGAUGAAACAUUAUACAGAAAGAUAUAGGCAAAGCAUUAUGCUCACAGCCUUUGCCAACAAGUUAUGUUUUAAUGUAAUUUAACUGUAAUCUCAGAGUGUUUUUGUUAGCUAUAAUUAGUAAAAUAUGUCUGUUUUCUGUGUUCCUUGAAGACGUCUGAACUCCUGCCAGUUCCCUAUAGUUUUCCUGACAUGCAGUGUAACAAGCAGACCACCAAAAUGUAUUUACCAAUAACUGUUUAUUUACAUUCCAUGAAAUCUAAUAACAUUUGCUGCCUUCAUUCGGGAUAAAUGCUGGCCAAAGUGUAAAGCAUAGAAAAAUAAA
Long non-coding RNA from Corvus hawaiiensis (hawaiian crow), 749 nucleotides. RefSeq lists it as uncharacterized. The record is from RefSeq and is a predicted model, not a curated record. The transcript is spliced from 3 exons. NCBI's taxonomy places the organism in Eukaryota, Metazoa, Chordata, Aves, Passeriformes, Corvidae.